Molecule: long non-coding RNA, 2305 nt
Organism: Haplochromis burtoni (Burton's mouthbrooder)
Lineage: Eukaryota; Metazoa; Chordata; Actinopteri; Cichliformes; Cichlidae
Product: RING finger protein 175
Source: RefSeq, a predicted model, not a curated record
CUGGUGACUCUGGUCCAGAUGUGGGUGGUUCCUCUUUACUUCACCAUCAAACUGUACUGGUGGCGUUUUCUGUCCAUGUGGGGGAUGUUCUCCGUCAUCACUAGCUACGUCAUCUUCAGAGCCACCCGCAAGCCGCUGUCCUGCAGGACGCCGAGGAUGGUCUACAAGUGGUUUCUGCUCAUCUACAAGCUGAGUUAUGCAGUCGGGGUUCUGGGCUACAUGGCCAUCAUGUUCACCAUGUUCGGCUUCAACGUCUUCUUCAGGAUCAAAGCAGAGGACUCGAUGGAUGUUGGUGUGAUUAUGCUGUUUUAUGGACUUUACUACGGCGUCAUGGGCAGAGACUUUGCUGAAAUCUGCUCGGACUGCAUGGCUUCUACAAUCGGGUACUACAACAAGGGUGGCAUGCCCAGCAGGAGCCUAACCAAUGAUAUCUGUGCGGUCUGUGGUCAGAGGAUCCUGGUGAACGUGGAGGAGGAAGGAUUUAUAGAAGACACCUACCAGCUCUCCUGUGGACACUUGUUCCACGAGUUCUGCAUCCGUGGCUGGUGCAUUGUGGGUAAAAAGCAGACGUGUCCUUACUGCAAUGAGAAGGUUGACUUGAAGAGGAUGAUGAACAACCCCUGGGAGAAGACGCAUGUCCUUUACGGGCAGCUUCUCGACUGGCUCAGAUAUUUGGUUGCUUGGCAACCCAUCAUCAUUGGUAUCGUUCACGGCAUUAAUUUCUCCCUGGGCCUCGAGUAAAGCCCCGAGGAACACCGCCAUAAGUACGACUGGAGUCGAGUUACACUCAGGACACGUGUGAUAGCAAACUGUCACAGUAGGCGCUACAAGGAACCGAAUGCAGCUGCUUUCAAAGUUUUUCACUUCGUGUUCUCGGACUAAACUCUUGCACGGUUUACUGCAGAGUAAACGGAAAGCGUCAGAGUCUCAACACGACCUCAAGCUUGCUGCCAACCCAAACAGAGUGAUUGGAGCACAGAGCCAGUAUUUUGACAGAUGAAUCUAGUUUGGUCUGGAAGUGUUGCUGUCAUGCAUGCUGUUUCUGUUGAGCUGAAAGAUGCUUUACUUUGUUCUGUCUUACAGAUUUUCAUGUUUAAUUUGCACACUCCCCUUUUUUUUGUUUCUUUUUUUUAAAUAAAAAUUUCUCUUUCUCAUUAGACUUUAUCUGUAUUGGAUUGCUUAUAAUAAGGACAACUCUGGGUAACAUUUGGACACAUUGAUUAAUUGUAACAUGACAGUAUUUGACAGUGCCAAUCAAAUUACUGAAGUACGCUGUGUACUAUGUGCAAUGUUGAUUCUGUUUGUUAUGCUGAACUGUGGUAGAAAUGAAAGAAUACGUCUCCCACAGCAUUGAUAAAACGCAAAGGUCUGGUGUGACUCUCGGUAGCAAUUUGUUGCACAGUUUUCAUAGAAUUCAUAAGGUGUUGUAAUUUAUCCUGCCAUGUUAAUGAAAGUGAGAAUAAAUUUGGUCUUAUGCACUAGCUUUCUGGCAUAUUUGAUCAUGUGUCAUUCCAAGUUUCAACAGGUCUCAUCAGGUGUUAGACUUGUAAUAAGUGAAUCAUGUUUAUCAAAGUCACAGUUCAGGUUUGAUGAAAAAUAGUUUUCCCUUGACUGUGCAGCCACAGUCGGAUGACAUUAAUCAUUCUGAAUUCUCAGCCUGGAUUUCUGACAUGGUCUUCUGGUUGUUUCAUGCCUCUAUAGUCACAAAGUGCACACUUAAAUGUUGGGAUUUCUAUCAUGCUUUCACCUAAUGUUACUCUUGUUCUGAUACAAAUCACCUCAGAGCUUAUUGUGUCCUCCAGGUUCUCUUCUAGUGAGGCCCAUUAUAAACGGUUUCCAAAUUUCAGCUGAAAAUCUGAAGAAUACCAUCCCUUUCCUGCAGCCGUGUCCAUAUAAAUAUCUCCAGGAUCAUGAAAAAUUAGUAUGUGGUCCAGCUAUAUAACACGCAUUGCACUGGCACAUUCAAAAUGUCUUUUUUUUUCUAGUUAAACUUUGCCACACACAAACUACUUUAUAUUAUAUAUUUGUUGUUUACUUGGAGGGGUGAUACUGUUUCCAUCAACCACCAGUUUUGUAGAACCUAAUGAAAAGUUGUUUUCUUGGAUUCAGGAUUUUCAUAUUAAAGGAAGAUUGUGGUUACUGAAAGAAAACAUUUUUUUCUGUUGUCAUGGAAACGAAUAAGUACAGCUUGAUGAGAUGUUAGGUGCAUUAAACUCCAGAACUAAAAUGAAUUAAGUGGCCAAGUGCCAAACACUGUAGUUCCUUUAGUGGCCAUUUUAGGCUCUACAAACGAGGCAGUCCUCAU